Long non-coding RNA from Aegilops tauschii subsp. strangulata, 724 nucleotides. RefSeq lists it as uncharacterized. NCBI's taxonomy places the organism in Eukaryota, Viridiplantae, Streptophyta, Magnoliopsida, Poales, Poaceae. The record is from RefSeq and is a predicted model, not a curated record.
AUUGAGAGAUGGCAAGUUGACUAGUGAUACAUGUCCAAAUGUAUUUAGCUCAGCAAACAAAAAAUUCUGGGGCUUUGGUCUGGUACCACCAGCCACCAGGACCCACCAUGUUACCAUGGGGCUUUGGCAGUGUUUUCUCACUUUCUGGGUGGGGUUACCAUAACCUUGUUUGCUAGCCAGUAUAUACCAGUGUUCUGUUUGCCUAGUGAUUUGAAUUCAUGAUUGAACUUUUGAGCUACCUUUAGUCAGGUCUGCUGACAUUUGACAGCUUCUGUCGAUAACUUACUUUGAUAUUACAUUUUUCUGCAUGAUGAUGAAUGCUGAUCUGUGCUUCUUCUUUUAUUUUGAGAUUAAGAUGUGUCCUUGUUCUUGCAGGAGUACCUCCAUUUCUUCUGUAACCCUCAACUCUGCCACAGAGACAUCAAGUCGAGCAACAUUCUUUUGGACGAAAACUUUGUUGCCAAGGUUGCUGAUUUCGGCCUUGCGCACGCAUCGAGAACUGGUGCUAUCAGCUUUGAAGCUGUCAACACAGAUAUACGCGGAACUCCAGGUUUGAAUUUCGCCUGUAGAUCUGAACAGUUUGGAAGUUACUUUGUGUCUCCCACUAUGGAUAGCAGAAGGUCACUGAGUGAGUAAGUGGAGCAAGUACUAUCAAACAUAGACAAGAACUCGUGCAGAAAUGCAGUAUAGUUUUUCCUUUUUCUCAUUUUCUUAGUGGAAGAAA